UACGGGCAGCAGUAGGGAAUAUUGCACAAUGGGGGAAACCCUGAUGCAGCGACGCCGCGUGAGUGAUGAAGUAUUUCGGUACGUAAAACUCUAUCAGCAGGGAAGAUAAUGACGGUACCUGACUAAGAAGCCCCGGCUAACUACGUGCCAGCAGCCGCGGUAAU
This 164-nucleotide ribosomal RNA is filed under the name uncultured rumen bacterium. RNAcentral's name for it is "partial 16S ribosomal RNA". It matches the Rfam family "Bacterial small subunit ribosomal RNA", at positions 340 to 524 of the family's 1533-position model. The record is from RNAcentral.